UACAGAGGGGGCAAGCGUUGUUCGGAAUUACUGGGCGUAAAGGGCGCGUAGGCGGCCUGCUAAGUCGAACGUGAAAUCCCUCGGCUUAACCGGGGAACUGCGUCUGAUACUGGAUGGCUUGAGUUUGGGAGAGGGAUGCGGAAUUCCAGGUGUAGCGGUGAAAUGCGUAGAUAUCUGGAGGAACACCGGUGGCGAAGGCGGCAUCCUGGACCAACACUGACACUGAGGCGCGAAAGCUAGGGGAGCGAACAGG
This 253-nucleotide ribosomal RNA is filed under the name uncultured bacterium. Its description in RNAcentral is "partial 16S ribosomal RNA". It matches the Rfam family "Bacterial small subunit ribosomal RNA", at positions 524 to 776 of the family's 1533-position model. The record is from RNAcentral.